RNAcentral lists this long non-coding RNA (246 nucleotides) under Hordeum vulgare. RNAcentral describes it as "long non-coding RNA (HVUL_LNC006623)". Lineage: Eukaryota; Viridiplantae; Streptophyta; Magnoliopsida; Poales; Poaceae. The record is from RNAcentral.
GCACCAACUCUCAAGAUGAGAAAGGGCAAUGCACGGUACUGAAGAGGCUAGCAAAAUAUGGAUGGUGGAAGUGCCAACAAUCAAAUACUCACAUUAGUCCAAAGAACUCAUACACUUAUUAUCGGUAACUCUCUAUCUAGUUAGGAAAUUCAUAAAGACACAAGUACCCCGAGGAGGAGUGUUUGGGGGUUUGGUUAUCCUUGCACAUCCUUGACCCAUGGUAACAUGAGGGUACUCUAUAUAUUU